GCUUCCUUAGGGAAUUCCAAAUGGUCAACGCAAGGAGGAUGAAGAUUUGACCUAAAAGGUGGGGUGAAAACGGAAGGAGAGUAUUGAAGGGAAUUAUAGGUGAGUGAGGUGCUCUGCUAUGUGCUCCCUGCAUGCUGUUCCAACCUUACCAGAUCUUGGAGUAGAAAUCCCAGAACUGUAGAAUCCAUGGUCAUGACUUCAACUGCCAUCUACCUGUUGAGGAAUCUGUACCUCAGACUUUUGUCCUCAUUUCCAAUUCAAUUAUUUUCUAAAA
Chinchilla lanigera (long-tailed chinchilla) is the source of this 274-nucleotide long non-coding RNA. RefSeq lists it as uncharacterized. NCBI's taxonomy places the organism in Eukaryota, Metazoa, Chordata, Mammalia, Rodentia, Chinchillidae. The transcript has 3 exons. The record is from RefSeq and is a predicted model, not a curated record.